AUGUUUCCUUUGGAGUUCAAAGAUAGGGGGAAAAAAAUCAAUGUCCCAACUCAAAGGCAGUUAGGCAGAAAUUUUCUUUUACUAAGUCCUUUAUUUCUAUUCAGGAUGCCAACUGUUUGGGUGAGGCCCACCUACAUUAAGGAGAGGAAUCUGCUUUACUUAGUAUACCGGUUUUCAACUGUCAUCCAGAAACACUGUCACAGAGACAUUCAAGGCUGCAGUUCUAUCAUGCCUCAUUGUGUCAACCAAAACCACCUCUAAGGAUAUCCAAAAGAGAUUCAUGUGAGCAGUACCGCUGCCCUGAGAAACAGCUGGGCUAACUAGUUUAUCUGUCUAUAUCUUCUUCUUCUUCCAACAAAAGGUAUAAAGCUAUUCGAGAACUCUGAGCACAUAUCACUUACCCUCUCUCACUAUUAGCUGAUUAGUCUGGACUGUUAUUCACAAUAUCUCCCUCCACUGAUUUAAUUCCAGAUAUUUUUGUUGGUGCCAACAGAUAGCACAGUCAAAAACAGCAACGUCACUGAGAAAAGCUUUAGUUCUGCCCGGUGAGGUGUUUUAUCACUUUUCUUAAUCAAAUCACUUAAACUAAGACUCAUUUUUUGCACCUACAAUUUGAGGUAAAAAUAUUUUCCCUCAAAGGCAUGUGUGAUGAUUAAAUGAAGUUAUACAGAUACAUCAGAUUUUAAUAUCUAGAAAACAAAUGGAAAAAUAAAUGGUAUUUGAGUGUUAAAUUUUGAAUAUCUCCAUAUUUAAUGAGGAAAAUAAGUUCUAAGUAGAUUAAUUUUUCAAAUAAUAAAUAUCUCCAUCUAACAUAUCUUCACAGUUAAUAUAUUUGGGUGCUGCAUAUAGGUAACGUAACAAUAUGUGAGUGGAGGCUGAUGGGCAUGUAGAAUAUUUCAUUUGAUAUUGAUCAAAAUUUAAGUAACUUAGUAUUACUUUCAAGGGUCUCUCUGAAGGGAAAUGAAACUUCCUAAUCAUCCCAACGACCUUCUGCCUUUUGCAAAAAGAACCUUGUGAGCUUAAAAUAGAGAACCAGAGAUGUCCCAGAUUGAUCACAGACUUUUGCCCCUCAUCUUAGCCUUAGAGCAAAAAGAGCUUUGACAUUGCAUUAAUGCCAAUAACACAGGUUUAAAAAAAAAAAAAAACCCGAAACAAACCAAAAAACCCUUUAAAAUAAACAUUUAUAAACAUGUUAUUUGGAACCCACCUGGAGACCUCCCUUUGCUAGCCUUGCUGCUGUGUGGGCUGGCUCCCUUCUGCAAUUCUGCUAAUUAAAACCACAGAAACAAGAAUCAAACGCAGGGUAACCUGGAUUAUUUUCCUUUAUAGUCUGCACAGAUAAGAUCAAGUGAGGUCAAGCAGUCAGCAGGAGUAAGGCAAAUUUUGAAACCAGCAUUCCAUUGUCUGCAUUUAAUUCCACCUGGG
RNAcentral lists this long non-coding RNA (1425 nucleotides) under Mustela putorius furo (domestic ferret). RNAcentral describes it as "lncRNA (ENSMPUG00000031153.1)". The record is from RNAcentral. Lineage: Eukaryota; Metazoa; Chordata; Mammalia; Carnivora; Mustelidae.